AGUUUUCCCACACUGUGUAAAAUGACAAAGAGCACUCUGAUUGGUUGGCUUGGAAUCUAACCAAUCAGAGUGCUCUGUGUCAUUUCACACAGCGUGAGAAAGUU
Pelobates cultripes (western spadefoot toad) is the source of this 104-nucleotide non-coding RNA. Lineage: Eukaryota; Metazoa; Chordata; Amphibia; Anura; Pelobatidae. The record is from the annotation of a GenBank genome assembly.